CACGCAUGACUCCCUUGUUGGGUCCUUUUACAAUAUCCGACUCAAUUAGAGCUUCCAAGGCAUUAAUACAAAUCUAGAAUUUUAACAAAAAAACAAAACAAAAAAACAAGAACUUUGCAAAUCACACUCCAAACUUUGAUUACAAUUAAACAUAAUGAUGAAUUAAAGCUGUUACCUAUAGAUUCAGAUUACUUCUACAUAAAAAAUGUUAUUGCUAGAGGUAAUUACUGCGGGUGUUCUGAGUUAUAACCCGAGUUCAAAUCGGCCAGAUUUGUAACUCAACAACAUAGAGAUUUAACUUUCAAAUUUAAGAAAAUUAGACUUAGUCUAUCUAGAUUCAAACUUACUUUUUUGGCGAGAAAGAUAAUAUUGCAUUAAACAUAAUUAAAGUGACUAUAGAGAGGGUGAUGCGUAUGUAUCUGUACUAGAGUUUUUUCAUAGAUGUCUACUAAAUACUACUACUAUCUAUUCUAUCAGAAUUAUCCAUCACACUGUUGCCAUUGGAAGCAGCCAUGCUUAGAUCAUUGUGAUGGAUUUCAAAAGUGUUCUAAUCCACGUCCUCCGCUUGUUCCUGCAGUGUGCAUGUUGUCUUCCUAAUACGAGUUUGUCCAAUCUGGUCCUUUUGCAAAAAAGUGCUGACAAAAUCCGGCGGUUCUUCAAAAAUAAAUGGUUUAUCAUGAGAGGCCAUGUUACAUUCUGCUUUAGCUAAACCAUCAGCCACCUUAUUCCCCUCUCUGUAGAUGUGUGCAAUGGUAGCACUAUGCAGUUGGGCCAGGAGGUACCUGCAGUCAUCUAGUAUGUUAGUGUAAACAAUGUUAUCAUUUUGUAACAUUUUCAGUACCUCUAAAGCAUCGAUGUUUUUUUCCAGUGGAACCAAGUUGUAUGUCUUUGCCAAUUCCAGUCCAUUGAAAAAAGCCUUUAAUUCUGCUUGGAUGGUGGUGGCAUUGACCAACUUGCCUGCAAACCCUAUAAUCUAGUUUUCAUUUUGAGUCACGUAUGGCUCCUCCUAUACCUGUUUUCUGAGUUAACGUUGAAGCUGCCCCAUCAUUAUUUAAUUUAUAGUAAUUUUGUUUAGAGGGUAUCCAUUUGAUAGGUUACAUUAUAGGAUUUUUUGUUAUUGGCAUGUUGGUAGCGAAAUAUGUAAAUUCCAGUGCAUUAUUAGUAAGUAUGUUAGUUGAUAGUCGUUAUUGUGUAUUAUUAAAAGAUUUAUUGUUACCAUUAAUCCAAAUGUGCCAUAAGGUACAUGAAAUAAAAGUUUUAGUAUUUAUACAGUGUGGCAUGUUGUUGUACUUUGUAUUAAUGAAUUUCAUCAGCCAAUCUGAUAGAUGAGGGUGUGUAAGUAUAUUGUUGGUAAAGUGUGCCAUACCCAAGUCAUUCCAUAUAUGUAUUAUGUUGGGACAUUGUAAAAAGAUGUGAUUAAUAGUUUCUGUAUGUGUGCGACAUAUUUGACAUUGGUCGUCCAAUGUUAUUCCUAUAUGAUGUAGGUAUUUUUUUGUUGGUAAAUCUAUCAUGUAUUAUAAGCCAAAGAAAUAUUUUUAUUUUGGGUGUUAUUUGAAUCUUCCAAAUCCAAUUGUAAGGAGUUGUUUGUUCUUGUAAGUUUAACUCCUCUUGUAGUAAUUGUGAAUACAUAGAUUUGACAGUAAAUUUUCCAUUAUUCGAUAAUACCCAAUAGACAGUGUCCACUUUGUUUGUGUAGAUAAGUACAUUAAUUCUAUUGAAUUUAUUUUUAAGAGAAUUUGUAAGAUGAAAUGGUAUUUCUGCCCAUUUCCAAUUGGUUUGAUCUCUAUAAGUUCUAAUAUUUCGCGUAUUAUGCUCUAAAGGUAUAUGACCAUGUACUAAGGAUCUAAGUGUUGUGUUUGGAGUAAUCCAUGCCUCCGUCCAAAAGUUUAAUUUUUAAUUUGUACCUACUUUCCAUUGAAUGUCAUGUUGCCAUUUUUCCCAGCCUGAAAUAAUAUUGUGCCAAAUAUGAGAAGAGUUUUCUAUUACACGUUUGUUCUUAUAUUUCUGAAUAAGAGUGUUUGCCCAUAGUUGUUUUGACGAAUGAAUUAUCCGCCAUGCUAAUCCUGCCAGUAAUGCCUUGUAUUUUAAAUCCAGCCUCUGUAUACCUAGACCUCCUAAAUAUUUAGGCAUGGUAACUCUUUUUCAGUUCACUAAGUGAAUCUUUCUUUUUUGUUGUGUAGUUUCCCAUAAGAAAUUGAGCAUGUAUUGCUCCAUUUUAUCAAUAAUAUUUUUAUGGAUUGCAAUGUAUUGCAUUAUGUGGUUUGCUAAAGUAGAAAGUGUUGAUUUAAUGAGGAAAAUUCUUCCUGGGAGUGAUAGGAAGUUUGUUUUCCAACCUGCAAGUCUAGCCUUGAAGUUAUCUAAUAAAAAAUGGAAAUAUGAGUUAUUAGGUCUAUGUUGAAACAUGGGAAAUCCUAAGUAUUUUUCAAGCUGUUUUCUUCAUGCAUACUAAAGCAAGAUAGUAUAUUUUAUUUUGCUUCAAUGUUGCAAUUAUUUGAGAAAAAGAUUCUUGAUUUUUGGAAAUUAAUAGUUUGCCCGGAUAGUUUAAUAAAAGUAUUAAGAGUGUCAAUUAUUGUGUUGCAGCUAUUAUCAUUUACUUUAGACAAAAGGAUGAUGUCGUCUGCAAAAAAAAAGAUGUGAUAGUUGAGGGCCAUUUUGUGAGAUUUGUAUGGGUUUCCAUAAUAGAUAAUCCAUAACAGAUUAAUGACUAAGAAAACUUGUUCAACACAAUUAUACAUUCACAACAAGAAAAUGAGUUCUGUUGCCUAUUCAUGUUAAAGCUCAAAGAAACAAUCACCAAGUUUUCAAAGAAUCACAAAUAGAGACAUCGGCAGUUUGCACUUAGCUAAACGAUUGCGAUUUCAACUAAGAUCUUUAGCUAUUCACCACAAAAUCGAAUGGAUUUAGUCAACAAACCAAAUUUGAAUAUAGUCAAAUAUAGCAGUCACGUCACUCAAAGUUUAUUCUCUAAUCACACCUAAACGAGAUUCCAAAACGCUAUUCCAACUUAAUUGAACCGUGGCUCUUAUCACAUUCGAAUCAACACCAAAGAAUAAAAUAAGAAAAAUGAUCAGAAAAAGGAACCUGAAAUUGAGCUUUCGAUUAAACUUCGGCCGUGAAUAUACAAUGAGAAAUCCAGUAGCAAACUGGAAUC
This 3151-nucleotide long non-coding RNA is filed under the name Nicotiana tabacum (common tobacco). RNAcentral's name for it is "long non-coding RNA (NTAB_LNC004472)". The record is from RNAcentral. Lineage: Eukaryota; Viridiplantae; Streptophyta; Magnoliopsida; Solanales; Solanaceae.